Molecule: long non-coding RNA, 450 nt
Filed under: Sus scrofa (pig)
Lineage: Eukaryota; Metazoa; Chordata; Mammalia; Artiodactyla; Suidae
Description: lncRNA (ENSSSCG00070017023.1)
Source: RNAcentral
GCCAGCCAGUCCCCAGGCCCCAGGGCCAGCACACAUUUGCGGGGCCGCUUUAAAUGGCAGAGUCAAUGUCAAAUCCACAGAGAAGUCAUAACGUGGGACCGGAAUGAAAAAUGGGGGUUAAAAAUUCAGAGCCAUGCCUUUAGUUCAUCCUUUGACCUGAGCAGUUAACAUUCAUUUCUUUCCUAAGCAGGUGAUUUGAAUGCAGCGCGUUGGAAGACUUUGUUUUCAGUCUCUGUGGUUCCUUUCACACAGGUUUUUUGUUUGUUUGUUUUCUUUUUCCUUUUUUUUUCUCCCCACUAAGGGCUUCAAGAGGCACGGCUUUGAGAAAACAGUCCUCUCUCUGGGACUCAUCUCAGCCGAAGUCAUCAGGAAUGGCCUCCGGGACGGGACGGCAGCAGGAAUUCAGUGACCACUAACAGCUGUGGGAAAGAUGAGGCUGUCGGAAGAAGA